GAUUAAAAUAGGAUAUAAUUUUUAAUUUGCAAUUAAAAUUUAUUAAUUUUAUUAAUAUAUCU
This 62-nucleotide transfer RNA is filed under the name Hyposoter sp. ZJUH_2016018. Its description in RNAcentral is "tRNA-Ala". The record is from RNAcentral. Lineage: Eukaryota; Metazoa; Arthropoda; Insecta; Hymenoptera; Ichneumonidae.